This 1203-nucleotide ribosomal RNA is filed under the name uncultured bacterium. RNAcentral describes it as "bacterial SSU rRNA". It matches the Rfam family "Bacterial small subunit ribosomal RNA", at positions 99 to 1312 of the family's 1533-position model. The record is from RNAcentral.
CGAACGGGUGAGUAACACGUGAGCAAUCUGCCCCUGACUCUGGGAUAAGCGCUGGAAACGGCGUCUAAUACCGGAUACGAGCUGCGAAGGCAUCUUCAGCAGCUGGAAAGAAUUUCGGUCAGGGAUGAGCUCGCGGCCUAUCAGCUUGUUGGUGAGGUAACGGCUCACCAAGGCGUCGACGGGUAGCCGGCCUGAGAGGGUGACCGGCCACACUGGGACUGAGACACGGCCCAGACUCUCUACGGGAGGCAGCAGUGGGGAAUAUUGCACAAUGGGCGAAAGCCUGAUGCAGCAACGCCGCGUGAGGGACGACGGCCUUCGGGUUGUAAACCUCUUUUAGCAGGAAAGAAGCGAAAGUGACGGUACCUGCAGAAAAAGCGCCGGCUAACUACGUGCCAGCAGCCGCGGUAAUACGUAGGGCGCAAGCGUUAUCCGGAAUUAUUGGGCGUAAAGAGCUCGUAGGCGGUCUGUCGCGUCUGCUGUGAAAACCCGAGGCUCAACCUCGGGCCUGCAGUGGGUACGGGCAGACUAGAGUGCGGUAGGGGAGAUUGGAAUUCCUGGUGUAGCGGUGGAAUGCGCAGAUAUCAGGAGGAACACCGAUGGCGAAGGCAGAUCUCUGGGCCGUAACUGACGCUGAGGAGCGAAAGGGUGGGGAGCAAACAGGCUUAGAUACCCUGGUAGUCCACCCCGUAAACGUUGGGAACUAGUUGUGGGGUCCAUUCCACGGAUUCCGUGACGCAGCUAACGCAUUAAGUUCCCCGCCUGGGGAGUACGGCCGCAAGGCUAAAACUCAAAGGAAUUGACGGGGACCCGCACAAGCGGCGGAGCAUGCGGAUUAAUUCGAUGCAACGCGAAGAACCUUACCAAGGCUUGACAUAUACGAGAACGGGCCAGAAAUGGUCAACUCUUUGGACACUCGUAAACAGGUGGUGCAUGGUUGUCGUCAGCUCCGGUGUCGUGAGAUGUUGGGUUAAGUCCCGCAACGAGCGCAACCCUCGUUCUAUGUUGCCAGCACGUAAUGGUGGGAACUCAUGGGAUACUGCCGGGGUCAACUCGGAGGAAGGUGGGGAUGACGUCAAAUCAUCAUGCCCCUUAUGUCUUGGGCUUCACGCAUGCUACAAUGGCCGGUACAAAGGGCUGCAAUACCGCGAGGUGGAGCGAAUCCCAAAAAGCCGGUCCCAGUUCGGAUUGAGGUCUGCAACU